AGGAAAAGACAUCAAUAGAGAUUCCCCUAGUAGCGGCGAGCGAACGGGGAGGAGCCGACUGAUUAUAAUUUAGAGGAAUGACUUGGAAAGGUCAAUCGUAGAGGGUGAUAAUCCCGUACUCGAAAGGUUAUAAGAAGCAUAUUAAGUAGGGCGGAACACGAGAAAUUCUGUCUGAAGAUGGGGGGACCAUCCUCCAAGGCU
Molecule: ribosomal RNA, 201 nt
Filed under: Skeletonema marinoi
Lineage: Eukaryota; Bacillariophyta; Thalassiosirophyceae; Thalassiosirales; Thalassiosiraceae
Description: partial Bacterial large subunit ribosomal RNA
Rfam family: Bacterial large subunit ribosomal RNA
Source: RNAcentral